GCUAGGAGUGGUGGUGCGUGCCUGUAGUCCCAGCUAUGCAGAAGGCUGAGGUGGGAGGAUCUCUUGAGUCCAGGAGUUCUGGGCUGCAGUGCACUAUGCUGAUCAGGUGUCUGCACCAAGUUUGGCAUCAAUAUGGUGACAUCCAGAAGUGGGGACCACCAGGUUGCCUAAGGAGGGAUGAAUAGGCCCAAGUUGGAAAUGGAGCAGGUCAGAACUCCUGUGCUGAUCUGUAUUUGGGAAGAAGCACACUAAACUCAACAUAAACCCAGAGAUGGAAA
Molecule: unclassified non-coding RNA, 278 nt
Organism: Fukomys damarensis (Damara mole-rat)
Lineage: Eukaryota; Metazoa; Chordata; Mammalia; Rodentia; Bathyergidae
Rfam family: Metazoan signal recognition particle RNA
About the family: The signal recognition particle (SRP) is a universally conserved ribonucleoprotein. It is involved in the co-translational targeting of proteins to membranes.
Source: Ensembl